RNAcentral lists this non-coding RNA (950 nucleotides) under Natronobacterium lacisalsi AJ5. RNAcentral describes it as "Halobiforma lacisalsi AJ5 Archaeal small subunit ribosomal RNA". It matches the Rfam family "Archaeal small subunit ribosomal RNA", at positions 1 to 951 of the family's 1478-position model. The record is from Rfam by way of RNAcentral. Lineage: Archaea; Methanobacteriati; Methanobacteriota; Halobacteria; Halobacteriales; Natrialbaceae.
AUUCCGGUUGAUCCUGCCGGAGGCCAUUGCUAUUGGAGUCCGAUUUAGCCAUGCUAGUUGCACGGGUUCAGACCCGUAGCAGAUAGCUCAGUAACACGUGGCCAAACUACCCUCUGGAGCGCAAUAACCUCGGGAAACUGAGGCUAAUGGCGCAUACGGCUCGGCACCUGGAGUGGGCCGAGCUUGAAACGCUCCGGCGCCAGAGGAUGUGGCUGCGGCCGAUUAGGUAGACGGUGGGGUAACGGCCCACCGUGCCAGUAAUCGGUACGGGUUGUGAGAGCAAGAGCCCGGAGACGGUAUCUGAGACAAGAUACCGGGCCCUACGGGGCGCAGCAGGCGCGAAACCUUUACACUGCACGCCAGUGCGAUAAGGGGACUCCAAGUGCGAGGGCAUAUAGUCCUCGCUUUUCUGGACCGUAAGGUGGUCCAGGAAUAAGUGCUGGGCAAGACCGGUGCCAGCCGCCGCGGUAAUACCGGCAGCACGAGUGAUGGCCGCUCUUAUUGGGCCUAAAGCGUCCGUAGCUGGCCGAUCAAGUCCGUCGGGAAAUCCGCACGCCCAACGUGCGGGCGUCCGGUGGAAACUGAUCGGCUUGGGACCGGAAGACCAGAGGGGUACGUCCGGGGUAGGAGUGAAAUCCCGUAAUCCUGGACGGACCACCGGUGGCGAAAGCGCCUCUGGAAGACGGAUCCGACGGUGAGGGACGAAAGCUCGGGUCACGAACCGGAUUAGAUACCCGGGUAGUCCGAGCUGUAAACGAUGUCUGCUAGGUGUGACACAGGCUACGAGCCUGUGUUGUGCCGUAGGGAAGCCGUGAAGCAGACCGCCUGGGAAGUACGUCCGCAAGGAUGAAACUUAAAGGAAUUGGCGGGGGAGCACUACAACCGGAGGAGCCUGCGGUUUAAUUGGACUCAACGCCGGACAUCUCACCAGCAUCGACAGUAGCAAUGAA